UCUCCGUAGGUGAACCUGCGGAGGGAUCAUUACAGAGUUCUCGCCCUCGCGGGUGGAUCUCCCACCCACUGUCAUCGUUACUGUGUUGCCUUGGCGGGCCGCCGGGCCCCGCUCGGCCGCCGGCUCCGGCUGGCGCGCGCCCGCCAGAGGCCCAGCAAACUCUGAAUGUUAGUGUCGUCUGAGUACUAUAUAAUAGUUAAAACUUUCAACAACGGAUCUCUUGGUUCUG
Molecule: unclassified non-coding RNA, 229 nt
Filed under: plant metagenome
Description: partial contains small subunit ribosomal RNA, internal transcribed spacer 1, and 5.8S ribosomal RNA
Source: RNAcentral